This is a long non-coding RNA of Poeciliopsis prolifica (blackstripe livebearer), 503 nucleotides long. RefSeq lists it as uncharacterized. The transcript is spliced from 3 exons. NCBI's taxonomy places the organism in Eukaryota, Metazoa, Chordata, Actinopteri, Cyprinodontiformes, Poeciliidae. The record is from RefSeq and is a predicted model, not a curated record.
AGCCAGGCAGGCCGCUGCAAGGUGCGUGUGUCUUUGUCUCCUCUGCUACAUGCUGGCUGACUGAGUGGCCUGUGGUUUUGAUCGGCUUACUGGAAAUCCAUUGUUUGCUGGCGUGGCAUUGGCGGUUGCAGCUGGAGAUUGUUGCGGCGUGUGGCUUCCAUCUAGUCCUCACUUGUUGGUCCGCUUCCUCUCCGGGAAACUGUGCUUCCACUCCUGGGCACCAAUUGCUGUGGGCAUUGCAGCGCUUUGGACGCUCUGCUGUCUUGUCCUGUCAGUGUGGCGUGAGCAGUUCAGAACGGAACCUGCUGCUAUUUUGGAUAUGUGGGCGUGACUCCUUCGGUCCUGUUGUGAGCGGCUUCUGAAAUCGGACAUCAGCAAUUAUUCCAUUGUUUGAAGUGUUUUGUUUGUUUGCAAUCUUUCUUCCUAACAAGAACAAUGGGAGAGGCGUAAGGGCUGCUACUUUCCCUUAUUACCUGGUUCUGUAGGAGCUGGUUGAUAUGUGA